Molecule: unclassified non-coding RNA, 556 nt
Filed under: Hevea brasiliensis (rubber tree)
Lineage: Eukaryota; Viridiplantae; Streptophyta; Magnoliopsida; Malpighiales; Euphorbiaceae
Source: RNAcentral
AAGUUUAAUUUUAUAAUCAACUCAGUUUUAAUGGAAUUUUAUUAAAAUUUCAAUAAAAAAAAAAACUGAAACACCUAUGGUUGUCGGAUUAAACAUGUCUGUGGGAUUAUACAUGUCUGUAGUCGAUUAAAGGCUAAGAAAGACUGAAAUGCCAUGAAUCUCUAUGUAAUUUGCCUUUUUAUCCUCUUUGAACAUUUAUAGUUAGCUGGUUGUAUUCGCUUGGGUUCCAAUGGUUGAUUGAAUACUUGACUUACGUGUUCUAAUUCUUCUCAAUUUUCUAUUUUAGCUCCAACACUAGGCGGAUGGUAGCGCUGUAAAGUUUCCAUGGUUUGUAUUGUUUUUAGUGUGCUGAUUUGGCUAGAGCGUUUUAUGGGAUUGAGGUGUCUGCACGGGGCUGAAUUUGUGGCCUUCGCCUUUUCUCUGAUUAAUUGUUAGUGUAUAAAGGCCGUAAACUUUAAAUAGGAAUGGCAACAGGCGAGUUAGGGGAGUUGAUCACUCUCAUCAUCUCCGUCUUAUGGGAGUUUGGAAUCAGGGCACAACAGGGACUAGUAAAGGA